This 277-nucleotide ribosomal RNA is filed under the name uncultured bacterium. Its description in RNAcentral is "partial 16S ribosomal RNA". It matches the Rfam family "Bacterial small subunit ribosomal RNA", at positions 29 to 333 of the family's 1533-position model. The record is from RNAcentral.
AACGAACGCUGGCGGCAGGCUUAACACAUGCAAGUCGAGCGCCCACUUCGGUGGGAGCGGCAGACGGGUGAGUAACGCGUGGGGAUCUACCCAGUGGUACGGAACAACCCGGGGAAACUCGGGCUAAUACCGUAUAAGUCCUUCGGGAGAAAGAUUUAUCGCCAUUGGAUGAACCCGCGUCUGAUUAGCUAGUUGGUGAGGUAAUGGCUCACCAAGGCGACGAUCAGUAGCUGGUCUGAGAGGAUGAUCAGCCACAUUGGGACUGAGACACGGCCCA